AGAGUUUGAUCCUGGCUCAGGACGAACGCUGGCGGCGUGCUUAACACAUGCAAGUCGAACGAUGAACACCGGAGCUUGCUCUGGUGGGAUUAGUGGCGAACGGGUGAGUAACACGUGAGCAAUCUGCCCCCGACUCUGGGAUAACCCCGAGAAAUCGGAGCUAAUACCGGAUACGACACCUCCUGGCAUCAGGUGGGUGUGGAAAGAAUUUCGGUUGGGGAUGAGCUCGCGGCCUAUCAGCUUGUUGGUGAGGUAAUGGCUCACCAAGGCGACGACGGGUAGCCGGCCUGAGAGGGUGACCGGCCACACUGGGACUGAGACACGGCCCAGACUCCUACGGGAGGCAGCAGUGGGGAAUAUUGCACAAUGGGCGCAAGCCUGAUGCAGCAACGCCGCGUGGGGGACGACGGCCUUCGGGUUGUAAACCUCUUUUGGCAGGGAAGAAGCGAAAGUGACGGUACCUGCAGAAAAAGCACCGGCUAACUACGUGCCAGCAGCCGCGGUAAUACGUAGGGUGCAAGCGUUGUCCGGAAUUAUUGGGCGUAAAGAGCUCGUAGGCGGUGUGUCACGUCUGCUGUGAAAAUCCAAGGCUCAACCUUGGACUUGCAGUGGGUACGGGCACACUCGAGUGCGGUAGGGGAGAUUGGAAUUCCUGGUGUAGCGGUGGAAUGCGCAGAUAUCAGGAGGAACACCGAUGGCGAAGGCAGAUCUCUGGGCCGUAACUGACGCUGAGGAGCGAAAGCGUGGGGAGCGAACAGGAUUAGAUACCCUGGUAGUCCACGCCGUAAACGGUGGGAACUAGAUGUGGGGUCCGUUCCACGGAUUCCGUGUCGCAGCUAACGCAUUAAGUUCCCCGCCUGGGGAGUACGGCCGCAAGGCUAAAACUCAAAGGAAUUGACGGGGGCCCGCACAAGCGGCGGAGCAUGCGGAUUAAUUCGAUGCAACGCGAAGAACCUUACCAA
Molecule: ribosomal RNA, 962 nt
Filed under: marine metagenome
Description: bacterial SSU rRNA
Rfam family: Bacterial small subunit ribosomal RNA
Source: RNAcentral